GUCCGGUGAACACUUUGGAUUUGAGAUUGGUUGUCUGUAAAAGGAUGGUUAAUCUGGGAGAAGUCGUGUAAAUCUUAUCAUUUAGAGGAAGGUGAAGUCGUAACAAGGUU
RNAcentral lists this ribosomal RNA (110 nucleotides) under Blastocystis hominis. Its description in RNAcentral is "partial small subunit ribosomal RNA". The record is from RNAcentral. Lineage: Eukaryota; Bigyra; Opalinata; Blastocystidae.